CCCAGCAAUGGGCAACCGGCGAACGGGUGCGUAACACGUGAGCAACCUACCGAACUGUGGGGGAUAGCCGGCCUAACGGCCGAGUAAUACCGCAUACGCUUUCGAUGAGGCAUUUCAUUGAAAGGAAACCUACGGGACAGAUCGAGGGGCUCGCGGCCUAUCAGCUAGUUGGCGAGGUAACGGCUCACCAAGGCGACGACGGGUAGCUGGUCUGAGAGGAUGGCCAGCCACAUUGGGACUGAGAUACGGCCCAGACUCCUACGGGAGGCAGCAGUGGGGAAUCUUGCGCAAUGGCCUAACGGCUGACGCAGCGACGCCGCGUGUGGGAUGAAGCUCCUCGGAGUGUAAACCACUGUUGCCCGGGACGAAUAGCUCGAUUAAUCGAGCCUGACAGUACCGGGUGAGGAAGCACCGGCUAACUCCGUGCCAGCAGCCGCGGUAAUACGGGGGGUGCGAGCGUUGUCCGGAAUCACUGGGCGUAAAGGGCGCGUAGGUGGUUUGAUAAGGGUGUGGUGAAAGUCCGGGGCUCAACCCCGGAUCUGCCGUGCCGACUGUCAAACUCGAGGGCUGUAGAGGCAGGCGGAAUUCCGGGUGUAGCGGUGGAAUGCGUAGAGAUCCGGAGGAAGACCGGUGGCGAAGGCGGCCUGCUGGGCAGUUUCUGACACUGAUGCGCGACAGCGUGGGGAGCAAACAGGAUUAGAUACCCUGGUAGUCCACGCCGUAAACGAUGGGUACUAGGUGCCUGGGGGAGCGACCCUCUGGGUGCCGGCGCUAACGCAGGAAGUACCCCGCCUGGGGAGUACGACCGCAAGGUUG
This 816-nucleotide ribosomal RNA is filed under the name uncultured Gemmatimonadota bacterium. RNAcentral's name for it is "bacterial SSU rRNA". It matches the Rfam family "Bacterial small subunit ribosomal RNA", at positions 72 to 896 of the family's 1533-position model. The record is from RNAcentral. Lineage: Bacteria; Pseudomonadati; Gemmatimonadota.